GUCAGGAUGGCCGAGCGGUCUAAGGCGCUGCGUUCAGGUCGCAGUCGGGUCUUCCCGGCGUGGGUUCGAAUCCCACUCCUGACAUCA
Molecule: transfer RNA, 87 nt
Filed under: Solemya velum gill symbiont
Lineage: Bacteria; Pseudomonadati; Pseudomonadota; Gammaproteobacteria
Description: tRNA-Leu
Rfam family: tRNA
About the family: Transfer RNA (tRNA) molecules are approximately 80 nucleotides in length. Their secondary structure includes four short double-helical elements and three loops (D, anti-codon, and T loops). Further hydrogen bonds mediate the characteristic L-shaped molecular structure. tRNAs have two regions of fundamental functional importance: the anti-codon, which is responsible for specific mRNA codon recognition, and the 3' end, to which the tRNAs corresponding amino acid is attached (by aminoacyl-tRNA synthetases). tRNAs cope with the degeneracy of the genetic code in two manners: having more than one tRNA (with a specific anti-codon) for a particular amino acid; and 'wobble' base-pairing, i.e. permitting non-standard base-pairing at the 3rd anti-codon position.
Source: RNAcentral